Molecule: ribosomal RNA, 253 nt
Filed under: uncultured bacterium
Lineage: Bacteria
Description: partial 16S ribosomal RNA
Rfam family: Bacterial small subunit ribosomal RNA
Source: RNAcentral
UACGGGGGGGGCAAGCGUUGUUCGGAAUUACUGGGCGUAAAGGGCUCGUAGGCGGCCAACUAAGUCGGAUGUGAAAUCCCCAGGCUCAACUUGGGAACUGCAUCCGAUACUGGAUGGCUUGAAUUCGGGAGAGGGAUGCAGAAUUCCAGGUGUAGCGGUGAAAUGCGCAGAUAUCGGGAAGAACACCCGUGGCGAAGGCGGCUCUCUGGGACGGUACUGACGCUGAGACGCGAAAGCGUGGGGAGCGAACAGG